This 774-nucleotide ribosomal RNA is filed under the name uncultured Neocallimastigales. RNAcentral's name for it is "partial large subunit ribosomal RNA". It matches the Rfam family "Eukaryotic large subunit ribosomal RNA", at positions 26 to 629 of the family's 3401-position model. The record is from RNAcentral. Lineage: Eukaryota; Fungi; Neocallimastigomycota; Neocallimastigomycetes; Neocallimastigales.
CGCAUCUGUGCAUGCAGCAUAUCAAUAAGCGGAGGAAAAGAAACUAACAAGGAUUCCCUUAGUAACGGCGAGUGAAGCGGGAAGAGCUCAAAUUUGAAAUCUUCAAGGUUUUACCUUGACGAAUUGUAGUUUAAAGAAGUGUUUUCUGUUGAAGUUUUGGUAAAAGUUCUUUGGAAUAGGACAUCAUAGAGGGUGAGAAUCCCGUAUUUGACCAUUAUUUUCAGCUGUGUGAUACACUUUCAAAGAGUCGGAUUGUUUGGGAAUGCAGUCCAAAAUGGGUGGUAAAUUUCAUCUAAAGCUAAAUAUUGGCGAGAGACCGAUAGCGAACAAGUACCGUGAGGGAAAGAUGAAAAGAACUUUGAAAAGAGAGUUAAACAGUACGUGAAAUUGUCAAAAGGGAAGCGUUUGACACCAGUGUUGUUUUCUCGAAAAUCAAUUAAAAAGAGUUAGAUUUUGUUGUGUAUUGACCUUAACAGCUUGCAUUUCAAUUUUCUUGCUUUUUUUAAUGCACUAUUCGUUUAACAAGUCAACAUCAGUUUCUUUUGUUGUAAAAAGGUCAUUGGAAGGUGGCUUUCUUUUCGGAGAAAGUGUUUAUAGCCUUUGACUCCUGCAAUCGGAGAGACUGAGGUCUGCAGCGUAGAUCCUUCGGGGUUAGAUACAUUUGUGCUAAGUUAUAGCUUUUUAUAGACAACUUGUUGACUAUGAUUAGUCUUGUAGCCUACUCGCUUAUGCUAUUUUACCUACGCUUAGGAUGUUGAUGUGAUACUGCGAGCA